AGGAUAGUCCUGGAAAUGAUCUUGAUGCUAUCUGUUCCUCGUUACAGCAGACCUGCUCAACUUCAGCAGCUAGAAGGAGGAUUGUCUUUCACCAGCUGCAGGAGCCUGUUCCCACUACAAGCCUGGUGGAGUCUUCGGAGCAGAUGUGACUGUCCUACUUGUAUAGAGAAGAGAAACUGAGGCUCAGAAGAGAUGCCUGGCUGAGUUUAAUAGGACUGCAACAACAAUUUUGCCUUUCUACUUUCUGCUCACCGAAGAAGACAGGAAAACUUGUCAGAUGGGGAAGGAUGUGUCAAGAGCAUGCACACAGAUUUACUCUUCAGCUAGAAGCUCCAAUUCCUAGAUGAUCUGAAUCCAACUCAGAGUGCUUGCACCUGUUUCCUGCCACACAGCUAGAGCUGUCCAGUGAGAGAGACAUGAUGGCCCAGCUUGAAAAAGAAAUUGAGGAUAGCAAGUGUAACAUACCAAGCAUUCCACGAGCAGUGUCCCUCUAGGUUCUCUGAUUGGCUGAAGCUACUCUAAGCCAAGAGAUCAAAGAAGCUGAUAAUGUAGAAUGUAAGUUUGUCUCCUGGGCCACAAUGGAAAGCAGAGACUGUAGCUGGAGGAGUGAAUAGAGGAUAUGCAGCUCUGGUAAUUCUCAGUACAAUUCCCAGUGGUCCACUCUGCAGAAUGAACCAAGUUCCAUUUUGCCCAACUUCUGGCAGUCCACAUUUGGACUGUGAGCUCACCUACAGAUAAAUCGUACGUGGAUUGAUGCAGUAACUGGAUUUGUAGCUGCUAAAUCUUAUUUAAGUGAGGACCUGUCCAGUACAUGUGAAGACCACCCAUCCACUGAAAGUGAUAAGUGAAGCUGAAUCAAUACUAGACUGAAUCAAUACUGAGCUGAAUCAAUACUUUCCCAAUUUUGAGGAAAUCUUGGAAAAUCUCUGAGAAAUGUGGUAGUAAUUAUUUUGAAGAAUUGGAAAACUUUAUAGCUGAUUAUGCUAUGUGUGGAAGAUACAACAGGAUUAUAAGAGAGAGAAGACAAUAUCCUUGCUGUGUCCAGAAGGCUUUAGCCGGGGUGUCCUACUGAGAGAUGACAAACUUAAGGUUUUUCUCUUCCCAGACAUUACUGGACAACUAGCUAUGUAAUUAGGUCUUAUGCCGAAAAGACUGAAAGGAAAACAUCUCAGAUCUAGGAAUGUGAUCAAGAAAGAAGGCUGGUUAAAGAAUAACAUGGGGAAAAUGAAUGCAGUGAAAUGGUUCACGCACAAGUUCUAGGAAUUCAGAGUGCAACAGCAGAAAUGCGAUUUUUGUUAGAUAUUUCAGAAAGUGAUGUGAGUCCCUGAGGUCAUACUGCAGCGUUCAGGUUCUGUUUGGCCUCCUGCACGAAGCUUUCCUUGAUUGGAAAAGCUGCAUACUCUGAAGCACAUCGCAUGUGUCCUGUCUGUAGUUCAUUUCAUUUCCCCAGAUUUGUUAUCAUCCACCAUCACUCAUACAAGCCUACCUUCUUCAUGCCAACCUUUGUAAUCUUUCUACCUUGCUAACCUGGUCAUGUCAAGGACCAGCUAAUAAAUAGCAAAGUUGUACCUUGAGCCAAGGUAUCUUGACUCUUAGUCCAGUGCUCUUUAUAUACCUCUGAAGUCUUAUUUGAGCUUCAAAAUUAUGAGUCUGUGCUCUCAAGAUUUUUUUGAAAAUGUACUUAAUGUUGCCCCUAAGCUUUUAUGAGAAAUAAUAAAGUUCUUUCCAGAUUGAAUAUCUAAUAA
Molecule: long non-coding RNA, 1745 nt
Organism: Homo sapiens (human)
Lineage: Eukaryota; Metazoa; Chordata; Mammalia; Primates; Hominidae
Source: Ensembl